This 468-nucleotide ribosomal RNA is filed under the name uncultured bacterium. Its description in RNAcentral is "partial 16S ribosomal RNA". It matches the Rfam family "Bacterial small subunit ribosomal RNA", at positions 28 to 507 of the family's 1533-position model. The record is from RNAcentral.
GACGAACGCUGGCGGCGUGCUUAACACAUGCAAGUCGAACGGAAAGGCCCUGCUUUUGUGGGGUGCUCGAGUGGCGAACGGGUGAGUAACACGUGAGUAACCUGCCCUUGACUUUGGGAUAACUUCAGGAAACUGGGGCUAAUACCGGAUAGGAGCUCCUGCUGCAUGGUGGGGGUUGGAAAGUUUCGGCGGUUGGGGAUGGACUCGCGGCUUAUCAGCUUGUUGGUGGGGUAGUGGCUUACCAAGGCUUUGACGGGUAGCCGGCCUGAGAGGGUGACCGGCCACAUUGGGACUGAGAUACGGCCAAGACUCCUACGGGAGGCAGCAGUGGGGAAUAUUGCACAAUGGGCGGAAGCCUGAUGCAGCAACGCCGCGUGCGGGAUGACGGCCUUCGGGUUGUAACCCGCUUUCGCCUGUGACGAAGCGUGAGUGACGGUAAUGGGUAAAGAAGCACCGGCUAACUACGUG